CAAAAUGGUGGAAUCAGAUCAGCCUGGCAAGCUUUUCAUUGGUGGCCUCCGUUUAGAAACCAAUGAAAAGAUGCUUAAAGCAGUAUUUGGGAAAUAUGGUCCCAUACUGGAAGUUCUUUUGAUAAAUGAUUGGGAAACCAGCAACUUCAGAUGCUUUGUACUUAUUUUGAAAACCUGCAGAUGCUAAGAAUGCUGUCAAAGAUAUGAAGGGAAACUCUUUGGAUGGAAAAGCAAUAAAAGUAGAACAAGUCAAGAAAACAUCUUUUCAAAGUGAUGGUAGGUGGAGAUCACCACCUUCCUGGAGAAACAGGAGCCCUUCAGGAAGUCUGAGAUCUGCAAGAGGAGGUAGUAGAGGACAAGAGGGUUGUGUCCCUCAUGUGAAGGACAACUGGAAUUCAUACAAGUUCCCGGGACACCAGGGAUUAUGCUCCACCAUCUAGAGAUUAUGGAUACCAUGAUUACGGUCAUUCUAGUUGGAAUGAACAAUCCUCUAGAGCAUAUAGUGACUGUGAUGGCUGUGGUGGGGGCCGUGGUAGAGAUCCUUUAGUACAUCCCAGUGGAAGUUCUUACAGAAAUGCAUAUCAGAGUUAUGGGACCUCUCCUGGUGAACAACCUGCAUGAGAGCCUUGGAUGAGUUAUGGUGGAAGUAGUCACUAUGAUUAUAACAGUACAUGAGAUAUAUAUGGCAGAAGUCAGGAGAGUUACUCAUGAAGCAGUGGUGAUUUAUAUUCCUGUGGUCAUGAGCGCGGUGGCAGAAAGGAAUGAAGGAAUCUACCUUCUGUGGAUAGGGUGCACCCUGCUGCUGGUGAAGGAUACAGUAGCUCAAGUUAUGGGGCAUCUACAGCAAGUGGUGAGGGAAAACAAGGUGAAAAAGGAGGCUGAAGCAGAUAUUAA
Molecule: long non-coding RNA, 894 nt
Filed under: Homo sapiens (human)
Lineage: Eukaryota; Metazoa; Chordata; Mammalia; Primates; Hominidae
Description: non-protein coding lnc-DAZ1-2:1
Source: RNAcentral